GUGCCAGCCGCCGCGGUAAUACGGAGGGUCCGAGCGUUAUCCGGAAUCAUUGGGUUUAAAGGGUCCGCAGGCGGUCAAUUAAGUCAGAGGUGAAAUCCCAUAGCUUAACUAUGGAACUGCCUUUGAUACUGGUUGACUUGAGUUAUAUGGAAGUAGAUAGAAUGUGUAGUGUAGCGGUGAAAUGCAUAGAUAUUACACAGAAUACCGAUUGCGAAGGCAGUCUACUACGUAUAUACUGACGCUCAUGGACGAAAGCGUGGGGAGCGAACAGGAUUAGAUACCCUGGUAGUCCACGCCGUAAACGAUGGACACUAGUUGUUGGGAUUUAUCUCAGUGACUAAGCGAAAGUGAUAAGUGUCCCACCUGGGGAGUACGAUCGCAAGAUUGAAACUCAAAGGAAUUGACGGGGGCCCGCACAAGCGGUGGAGCAUGUGGUUUAAUUCGAUGAUACGCGAGGAACCUUACCAGGGCUUAAAUGUAGUCUGACAGCUUUAGAGAUAGAGUUUUCUUCGGACAGAUUACAAGGUGCUGCAUGGUUGUCGUCAGCUCGUGCCGUGAGGUGUCAGGUUAAGUCCUAUAACGAGCGCAACCCUUGUCGUUAGUUGCCAGCAUGUAAAGAUGGGGACUCUAACGAGACUGCCGGUGCAAACCGAGAGGAAGGUGGGGAUGACGUCAAAUCAUCACGGCCCUUACGUCCUGGGCCACACACGUGCUACAAUGGUAUGGACAA
Molecule: ribosomal RNA, 730 nt
Filed under: uncultured bacterium
Lineage: Bacteria
Description: SSU rRNA
Rfam family: Bacterial small subunit ribosomal RNA
Source: RNAcentral